AACAAACGCUGGCGGCGUGUCUUAAGCAUGCAAGUUGAGCGGCAAGGAGGAGAGAUCCUCCCUAGAGCGGCGGACUGGUGAGUAACGCGUGGGUAAUCUAUCUUAGGCAUGGGGAUAGUCACUAGAAAUAGUGGGUAAUACCGAAUAAGUUCCAUAAGGGGAGGACUUAUGGAAGAAAGGUGCUACGGCACUGGCCUUAGGUGAGCUCGCGUCCCAUUAGCUAGUUGGUGAGGUAAAGGCCCACCAAGGCGAUGAUGGGUAGCCGGCCUGAGAGGGUGUACGGCCACACUGGGACUGAGAUACGGCCCAGACUCCUACGGGAGGCAGCAGCUAAGAAUAUUCCGCAAUGGACGGAAGUCUGACGGAGCGACGCCGCGUGGAUGAAGAAGGCCGAAAGGUUGUAAAGUCUUUGCUAGGGGAGAAUAAGUGUGGGAGGGAAUGCCUGCACGAUGACAAGGACUAGCGAAUAAGUCCCGGCCAACUACGUGCCAGCAGCCGAC
This 500-nucleotide ribosomal RNA is filed under the name uncultured bacterium. RNAcentral's name for it is "bacterial SSU rRNA". It matches the Rfam family "Bacterial small subunit ribosomal RNA", at positions 29 to 518 of the family's 1533-position model. The record is from RNAcentral.